UAUUGCUGGCUGAAAGCAAACCUCCUCACCCCCUCCCCCUUCCCCACAAAGGCCUCCCGGUUGGGCAAGUAUCGUGCGUGCCACGAACCCCUUCACGCAAGCACAGACGACAGCGCACAAGGAAGCGGGUCGUCCUCCCCACCCCUGCUUCCCCUCAACCUUGCACAUACAGGGACCCCCCCCCCCAAAAAAAAAAACACCGUAACGCGAAUUCCACAUCAACGACAGAGGCACAAACAAAACGCCAAGGAAAGCUGCGGCACGGGAAAGGGACGCGACGACAUCAUCUCCGCUGCCGGUCCACCCGUGACGGGAGAAAAGGCGAUAUAUAUAUAUAUAUAUAUAUAUAUAUAUGUAUAUGUAUAUAUCAAGGGAGAGCGACAGCAGAAAGGACAAGGCCGCGCAGGAGUCUGAUCGAGGGCGCGCGAGGGAAUUGCGUGUGAGGGGCCGCGCGUGCUUGUGACCACAGCGUCGGAAGGUCUACAAGAGUAACUGUGCCGGGAGGUGUGCUAGACCACUUCACACUACCAACCAGCGAUCGAAGCGGAUACGAAAGAAGUGAAGCGGAACAUAAAAAGGGAUCAGGCACAGUGCGUGUAGUUCUGGUGCUGCUUUCUCUUUCUUCUUCUGGUCUCUGUUGCCUUUUUUGAUGUUUCUAUUCCUCUAUAUCAUAUCCCCUCCUUCCUCCCCACUACGCGUUUUCUCUGAUUUCUGCUCUCGCUGAUUGUUUGCCCGCAUCUCUCGGCCGAUCGCUCUGUCUGCCCCGCCCCGGUCCGUUCGUGCGACAACCUCGUAUGUGCGCGGGUGUUGUCUAUGGUGUAACUCUACGUUUGUGUGCGUGUGCGUGUGUGUUUGCGUGUUGGGUUGUUCCCCCCCCCCACCGCCCUUCACUCCCUGCUGUGCCUGUGGUCGCUGGUUGAUGCCACUGCCACCUUGAGCCAACCUACCUCUCCCCCCUUUCCUUGUCUUUGUGCGUCUCUCUCUCCACCACUACCACCACCUCUCUCUUUCUCGUCACUUAUCGCCCCUGCCGUCGUCAAAGGUCGUUGUAUCCCGCGCACCGCGCUCCUGGUCUUCUCUGCUGUCCUGCCGUACACACGCAGGGAAGGUGAGCUCCAAGCUUGCUGUCUGCUCUUAGCGCUCCGCUUCUUUUUCGCUGCAACGAUCUCCUUUGCUCUCCGUCACAGGGCUUCUGGAAUACGCGAUUUGCUUGGUACAUCCUUUUCCUACUUUAGUUUCUGCUGCGGCAUCCGCGGGGCGUCAACGCCUAGGGAGGGGCGGGCUCUGGUCAGCGUCGCCGAGAAACGCAGUAUCUAGGAGGUCGCCACUGUCGUCGUUGGUUUUGUUGGUGUCGCUGUUGAUGGUGGCAACGUUGCUCAUCGUACACCCGCACCGGUGCACACGUCGACGUCUUUUAACUCUUUAUAUUCUUCGAUGGAUGAACUCAACGAGAGACAAGCCUAAGCCCACUAUUCUUACCGACUCACUGGCUUGUGAACGUGCCCACAGAAGCCGUCCUUCUGCCUCUCCCUCUCCGUCUUCCUCCAAGCCGCGUGUGAUUGGUGUGUUGUUGUGUUCACCUGUCCAAAUUUGUUUUCCCUGUGUGUUUGCUUGUAUGCACUCAGAGCCAUUUUGAAUUCUUUGCGUUUUCUCGAUCACACGCACCACGCACACACACACACACUCGGCGUAAGUACGUGCGUUUGUGUGCUUCCCUUGCCCGCCCACGAAAGCUUCCUCUUGCCCCCCCCCUCCACCCACCCCCACCCCUUACUUGUGGUGCACCUUGCGUGCUUUCCCUCCCUUUCUUCUCGUCCCUUCCGUGCCCCCUCCUUUUGUGUGGUCGUCAUGCAGUAUGAGAAGCCCGCUGGGGUCAUGCAUGAGGUGAUCCGGCGUGCCUUUGAUGAGCUGCGCCUACACAACAAUGCACAAGGCGCUAUCACCAUCGUUACACACGCUCUCGCCAACGCAGAGGGGCUGCCGCUGCUGAAGUCAGGCAAGGAUCUCAAUGGCAACACCCCAGCAAGCACGCCGCGAGCGGUUUUGUCGCGCAGCGACGGCGUCGUGGCACGUGUCCGUGACGCCACCGCUUCUGUCGUUGGCGCCCCCACUCUGAGCAGCAUCAGCGAGAACGGCUACGACCAUAGUGCACUCCGACCUCGUCUCGGUGGGUCCUCGAGCAUGACCCGUACAACGCAGGCGGCGUCGUUGCAGUGGCUCACCGCCGGGAGCAUCGGCGCUUCUGCGCCUUUGCCAACUUCCACCGCCAGCGCCACCGCCAUUGCGUCGCUGCCUGCUGGGAGCGCAGAGUGCCUGAGCAGGCACCACUACUUUAAUCGGACGCAGGUUCUGCGGCUGCUGCUCAUCCGCUGCGAGGCCUACAGCGCCAUGAAGCAGCACAACCGCGCAUUGCAGGAUGCACUGAACGCGGUCGAGGUGUCGGAAGGCCAGUCCGCGGAGGCGUACUUCGCGGUUGGCCGAGAGCAGCGCCGGCAGUUCAACAUUGUGGAGUCCGCUAGCGCGUUCGACACAGCAGAGGCGCUGCUGCACUCCAUGCAGCAGGCCGUUGCGGCUGGCAAAAACGUUGUGGAUGGGUGGAUCCAGGAGACGGUAUCGGAGGAGGACUUUUGGGCCGAACGUGGCUAUCAAAUGUCGGAGGUGCGGGAGCUCGGCAUCACGCGGCGAGAGUACGAGCUGCAGGAGCGAGCAGCACACCGUGAUAGUCUGUCGAACUCGGACAGUCCCCCGUUAAGCCCGCUUGGCCGGGCACGGACCGAUCCACUGAGCCCGGUGAUAAGCGGCAGCAGUUGGCGUGGGCACGGGCACGGCUUCGAGCCGUCGUUUGCCGGCACCAGCGGCUCGGUGCUUGAGGUGCCAACCUCACUGAACGACUCCGCAACAACCCUUUCCUUCACAGGCGAGAGCGGCGCUGACUGCGGCGCCGCCGGUGCCGGGAAUUAUGCGCGUGACCUGCUGCAGUGUGGUUUGUCUUUGAACGAGCUGGCCAUGUGGCGCCGUCUCUCCAAUGAGUCGCGGGCGCUGCUUGCCAUGCGCCAGUCGCACACCGUGCCGUCGACGCUGCUGGGUGCAACCAUGACGCUGCUGGACCGGCGCAUCGCAAGCGUUCGUGGUGGUCUCAUCAUCUCCAUAGAGAACAACUUGAGUGUGCCGCUACGCUUCAUUGGCGCCAUGGCCCCAGACGGGCUUUAUCACGACGCCUUCAGUUUUCCCGACGUCAUCGCCAAGACGCACUGCGGCAUCUCAAUGCUGCACCCACGCGGGUGGGGAGGCUACUCUGGCUGCGUAUGCUACGAGCUGCACGAACAGUUGAGCUGCUUCUUUUACUUCGAAUGCCCUCUGCUGGGCUCGCUCAAAUACGGUGUGCGCUUCGUCGAGCACCGCGCCUCUGACCUGCGCCGCGCCUUCGCGGAGAUGUACAAGGAGACGGGUAUCUACAGCAUCGAGGGCGGCACGACGUCGUCGGCCAUCAAAUCACCGCAGCACAUUAACAGCGGUGCGGCGGGUAGACACAACGGCGCCCGCAUCGGGGGCAAUGUGUCGAUCCGCGGCGCGACGACGCCGCUGGCGACGACGUUGGCUAGCAUGAACGCAGCGCGGGCUGCGAUUCGUACGCCGCCGUCUGGAAUCUGGAUCGCAUCGCACACCGCAGUGUCCGCGUCGAGGCGUCCGAUCAAGGCCACGGCGCGUUUGAACGGCACUCAGGACAUCGCCUUUUCGCUCUCCGAAGUACUGGCUGUGCGACUGCGCAGUGUGGAGCUGGCGCCUGCGCUCGAGUACGUUGGUGCCGCGACGCUCAAAAAGCUGAGCUCCGUCAGCCACCGCUACCGGGAGUUGGUGAACAACCUGCCGCCGCCGAUGUUCUACGGCACUGGGAGGCGCUCCUACCCGGACUACUGUGUCGCCUCCGACCGGUACAGCUCGCCGUGGAUUGUGCGGGACAUGCAGCCAGUCACGUGGAAGCUCGUCUUCGACGGCCGCCUCGCCGAUCAGGAAGAGUUCUCUAUAUCUGAUGAGAGCGACAUGCAGAAACACAUCCUGUGCUUUUCGGCUGAUGCGCAGACGAAGGUGACGGGCUACGUGUACUUUGGCGACAAGCGGUGUCUGCAGUACAUCAUCAAAGAGAGCUGGAUUCCCUUCAGCAACACGCUCUACAUCUCCACCCCCGUCGGCCGAACCUUUGCCAGCUGCGUGGCGACGAACAACCAGACUCAGUUCACCCUCUCGUUGACGAGCAGCGGCGGCGGUGGUAACACGAAGGGAGGCGCGGCCAAGGGCGGCGACGACGUGCUGUACUCGGCGCGCAAGCGUGUGCCGCCCGCCGGCGACGUUGCGACGCCGUCCGCGCGUGCCGGGGCCACCGUUGUGACGGCCACGGCCAUUUCGACAGGAGUCGUGAGCGGAAACGGGAGUACCCUCCACAGCCGCGGCAGUCCAGCGCCUGCCGCGCUUGGUGUGGAUUCCGAUGCGGCCACUGGCAUCGUGGAGGGUGCUAACAACGUCGGCGUCAGCGCGACAAGGCGCGCCACGGCCGCGGACGCAGCAUCGUCGAGGACCCGCGGCAGCUCUGGUGGGCUGGGCGUGCUCACCUUGCCGGUGACCACGGGAGGAAUCGCGAAGGCGACUCUUUACUCUCCGAAUGCCACUCUCUACCCUUCUCCGGGGAAGCCAUCUUCAGAGACCGCGUUCAACGGCACUUCGACCGCAGUCUCCAUGACGUCUGGCAAGCCAGAGUACUAUAGCAUCUGGCGCUCACAGCGCGUCAGCGGCGGCGCUGUCGUCGGCAGUGUCUCCCCGGCCACGACGAACGGCGGUGCCGACAUUGUGGCCGAGGUGAAAGUGAACCCGGUGCUCUACGGCAUGGUGGCCAAGGGGUACUGCGCGGCCGAGAUUACGCUCUACCCUGGCGCGGAUGCGAUGUUGGUAUCCCUCAUGUCCUUCUUGAUGACGCGGUGGUAGCCGCACUAGCGGAAGGGUAGCGCCGUUUCCGUAUAGUGAUGGUGGCGUAUGCCUUGAGUUAUUGACCCCCUCCCCCAUUGCCCGGCUGUAUCACGCACACUCGUUGUGUGUCGCACAUAUUUUCGUCUGCUGCUGCUGCUUCCAGUUGGCAUUCUGGUGUUUGUCAAUGUGUGUGUGUGUGUGUGUGUACGUGUUCUUCUUUUUCUCUCUCCCUCUAUCUCGGAUGGUGGUGCUGAGGCCUCCGCCGUGACGCGCGCUUCUUGAUGCGGUCGUUGUUGAUGGUGAUUUUUUUUGCUCGUCGUGCUCGCUGUCCCCCUCCCCCUUCUUUUCCGUCGCAGCACUUGUCGCUACGGUGUCCUGCGCGAAGGGGAAGAAGUACGCCCCGAGAGACAGCUCUUCUUGACGCAGCUGCGAAUGCGUGCGUGCGUUCGCGCACAGGAUCUGGAUGAGUGGGUAAGGAGUGAGACGAGAUGAGUGGUCAACUCCUCCCACCAUACCUGCAGUUACGUGCACACACGCACGCAGGCACGUGAUUUGUUCUUCGCGCUGCGUUGUUGUCCGGUUGUCGUCUUCUCUUCCUGGUUUUUUUCUGUGGUAGUGCUCCGUCUUUCCCUUCCCUCUCUACGUGUCGCAUUUUGUUUUCCUCAGUCUCUCGCUCCAUUGCAU
RNAcentral lists this unclassified non-coding RNA (5643 nucleotides) under Leishmania donovani. RNAcentral describes it as "gene:LdHU3.25.1080(CDS-product:hypothetical_prote in_conserved)". The record is from RNAcentral. Lineage: Eukaryota; Euglenozoa; Kinetoplastea; Trypanosomatida; Trypanosomatidae.